RNAcentral lists this ribosomal RNA (461 nucleotides) under uncultured bacterium. RNAcentral's name for it is "partial 16S ribosomal RNA". It matches the Rfam family "Bacterial small subunit ribosomal RNA", at positions 338 to 795 of the family's 1533-position model. The record is from RNAcentral.
UCUACGGGUGGCUGCAGUGAGGAAUAUUGGUCAAUGGGCGCAAGCCUGAACCAGCCAAGUCGCGUGAGGGAUGACGGUCCUAUGGAUUGUAAACCUCUUUUGUCGGGGAGCAAGGCCCGCCACGUGUGGCGGGAAGGAGAGUACCCGAAGAAAAAGCAUCGGCUAACUCCGUGCCAGCAGCCGCGGUAAUACGGAGGAUGCGAGCGUUCUCCGGAUUUAUUGGGUUUAAAGGGUGCGUAGGUGGUUUGACAAGUUAGUAGCGAAACUCCGGGGCUCAACUUCGGAACUACUACCAAAACUGUUGGACGUGAGUGCAGGAGGGGCAAUCGGAAUUCCUAGUGUAGCGGUGGAAUGCGUAGAUAUUAGGAGGAACACCAGUGGCGAAGGCGGAUUGCUAGACUGUAACUGACACUGAGGCACGAAAGCGUGGGGAGCAAACAGGAUUAGAUACCCCAGUAGUC